UAAUACGAAGGUGGCGAGCGUUGUUCGGAAUCACUGGGCUUAAAGAGCACGUAGGCGGACCGCAAAGCGUCACGUGAAAUCCCUCGGCUCAACCGAGGAACUGUUUGGCGAACUUGUGGUCUUGAGGCAGGUAGGGGCGAGUGGAACUCUUGGUGGAGCGGUGGAAUGCGUAGAUAUCAAGAGGAACGCCAGAGGCGAAGGCGACUCGCUGGGCCUGUCCUGACGCUGAGGUGCGAAAGCCAGGGGAGCAAACGGGAUUAGAUACCCCGGUAGUCCUGGCCCUAAACGAUGUCCACUAGGUCGAAGGUUCUCUGACGGAGUUUCGGCCGAAAUGAAAACGGUAAGUGGACCGCCUGGGGAGUACGGUCGCAAGGCUG
RNAcentral lists this ribosomal RNA (377 nucleotides) under uncultured bacterium. RNAcentral's name for it is "bacterial SSU rRNA". It matches the Rfam family "Bacterial small subunit ribosomal RNA", at positions 521 to 896 of the family's 1533-position model. The record is from RNAcentral.